GAUAUGAUCAAAACAGAUGCUGCA
RNAcentral lists this non-coding RNA (24 nucleotides) under Arabidopsis thaliana (thale cress). Lineage: Eukaryota; Viridiplantae; Streptophyta; Magnoliopsida; Brassicales; Brassicaceae. The record is from RNAcentral.